This 460-nucleotide ribosomal RNA is filed under the name uncultured bacterium. Its description in RNAcentral is "partial 16S ribosomal RNA". It matches the Rfam family "Bacterial small subunit ribosomal RNA", at positions 338 to 795 of the family's 1533-position model. The record is from RNAcentral.
CCUACGGGCGGCAGCAGUGAGGAAUAUUGGUCAAUGGGCGGAAGCCUGAACCAGCCAAGUAGCGUGCAGGAUGACGGCCCUACGGGUUGUAAACUGCUUUUAUACGGGAAUAACGCGCCUUACGUGUAGGGCUUUGCAUGUACCGUAUGAAUAAGGACCGGCUAAUUCCGUGCCAGCAGCCGCGGUAAUACGGAAGGUCCGGGCGUUAUCCGGAUUUAUUGGGUUUAAAGGGAGCGUAGGCCGCAUGUCAAGCGUGCUGUGAAAUGUCCGGGCUCAACCCGGGCCUUGCAGCGCGAACUGGCGUGCUUGAGUCCGCUGAAAGCAGGCGGAAUUCGUCGUGUAGCCGUGAAAUGCUUAGAUAUGACGAAGAACCCCGAGUGCGAAGGCAGCUUGCUGCAGCGGAACUGACGCUGAUGCUCAAAAGCGCGGGUAUCGAACAGGAUUAGAUACCCUGGUAGUC